AUUGAACGCUGGCGGCAGGCCUAACACAUGCAAGUCGAGCGGAUGAAGGGAGCUUGCUCCUGGAUUCAGCGGCGGACGGGUGAGUAAUGCCUAGGAAUCUGCCUGGUAGUGGGGGAUAACGUCCGGAAACGGGCGCUAAUACCGCAUACGUCCUGAGGGAGAAAGUGGGGGAUCUUCGGACCUCACGCUAUCAGAUGAGCCUAGGUCGGAUUAGCUAGUUGGUGGGGUAAAGGCCUACCAAGGCGACGAUCCGUAACUGGUCUGAGGGGAUGAUCAGUCACACUGGAACUGAGACACGGUCCAGACUCCUACGGGAGGCAGCAGUGGGGAAUAUUGGACAAUGGGCGAAAGCCUGAUCCAGCCAUGCCGCGUGUGUGAAGAAGGUCUUCGGAUUGUAAAGCACUUUAAGUUGGGAGGAGGGGCAGUAAGUUAAUACCUUGCUGUUUUGACGUUACCAACAGAAUAAGCACCGGCUAACUUCGUG
This 484-nucleotide ribosomal RNA is filed under the name uncultured bacterium. Its description in RNAcentral is "partial 16S ribosomal RNA". It matches the Rfam family "Bacterial small subunit ribosomal RNA", at positions 30 to 507 of the family's 1533-position model. The record is from RNAcentral.